RNAcentral lists this ribosomal RNA (449 nucleotides) under uncultured bacterium. Its description in RNAcentral is "bacterial SSU rRNA". It matches the Rfam family "Bacterial small subunit ribosomal RNA", at positions 28 to 517 of the family's 1533-position model. The record is from RNAcentral.
GGUGAAUGCUGGCGGCGUGGAUAAGUCAUGCAAGUCAAGGGGGCCCGCAAGGGCAACCGGCAAACGAGGUAGUAACACGUAGGUAGACCCCCCAGAGUCGGGCAUAGCCAGCCGAAAGGUUGGGUAAUUCCCGAUAGUCCCGAAAGGGUAAAGGUUUUUCGUCUCUGGGAGUUGCCUGCGUAGUAUCAGCUAGUUGGUAGGGUAAUGGCCUACCAAGGCUACGACGCUUAGGGGAGCUGAGAGGCUGACCCCCACCGAUGGAACUGCGACACGGUCCAUACUCCUACGGGAGGCUGCAGACGAGAAUAUUCCGCAAUGGGCGAAAGCCUGACGGAGCGACGCCGCGUGAUUGAUGAAGUGCUUCGGUACGUAAAGAUCUUUUAUCGGGGACGAAGUUUAUUGACGGUACCCGAUGAAUAAGGGGCGUCCUAACUCUGUGCCAGCAGCCG